AGAGUUUGAUCCUGGCUCAGAAUGAACGCUGGCGGCGUGCUUAACACAUGCAAGUCGCACGAGAACGCUUCUGCUUGCAGGGGCUAGUGAAGUGGCGCACGGGUGAGUAACGCGUGGGUAAUCUACCCCCGGAUCCGGGAUAACCCUCCGAAAGGGGUGCUAAUACCGGAUGAAGUCAUAGGGACUGCGGUUUUUAUGAUGAAAGGUGGCCUCUCCGAGGAAGCUACUGUUUGGGGAUGAGCCCGCGUACCAUUAGCUAGUUGGUGGGGUAACGGCCUACCAAGGCAGCGAUGGUUAGCUGGUCUGAGAGGAUGAUCAGCCACACUAGAACUGACACACGGUCCAGACUCCUACGGGAGGCAGCAGUGAGGAAUUUUGCGCAAUGGGGGGAACCCUGACGCAGCAACGCCGCGUGAGUGAAGAAGGCCUUCGGGUCGUAAAGCUCUGUCGAGUGGGAAGAACAUUUAUGUGGUGAAUAUCCAUGUGAAUUGACGGUACCACAGAAGGAAGCACCGGCUAACUA
RNAcentral lists this ribosomal RNA (523 nucleotides) under uncultured bacterium. Its description in RNAcentral is "bacterial SSU rRNA". It matches the Rfam family "Bacterial small subunit ribosomal RNA", at positions 8 to 503 of the family's 1533-position model. The record is from RNAcentral.